UACGAAGGGGGCUAGCGUUGCUCGGAAUCACUGGGCGUAAAGGGUGCGUAGGCGGGUCUUUAAGUCUGGGGUGAAAUCCUGGAGCUCAACUCCAGAACUGCCUUUGAUACUGGGGAUCUCGAGUCCGGAAGAGGUGAGUGGAACUGCGAGUGUAGAGGUGAAAUUCGUAGAUAUUCGCAAGAACACCAGUGGCGAAGGCGGCUCACUGGUCCGGUACUGACGCUGAGGUGCGAAAGCGUGGGGAGCAAACAGG
RNAcentral lists this ribosomal RNA (253 nucleotides) under uncultured bacterium. RNAcentral's name for it is "partial 16S ribosomal RNA". It matches the Rfam family "Bacterial small subunit ribosomal RNA", at positions 524 to 776 of the family's 1533-position model. The record is from RNAcentral.